RNAcentral lists this ribosomal RNA (254 nucleotides) under uncultured bacterium. Its description in RNAcentral is "partial 16S ribosomal RNA". It matches the Rfam family "Bacterial small subunit ribosomal RNA", at positions 524 to 776 of the family's 1533-position model. The record is from RNAcentral.
UACGGGGGGGGGCAAGCGUUGUUCGGAAUUACUGGGCGUAAAGGGCUCUUAGGCGGCCAACUAAGUCAGACGUGAAAUCCCUCGGCUUAACCGGGGAACUGCAUCUGAUACUGGAUGGCUUGAGUUCGGGAGAGGGAUGCGGAAUUCCAGGUGUAGCGGUGAAAUGCGUAGAUAUCUGGAGGAACACCGGUGGCGAAGGCGGCAUCCUGGACCGACACUGACGCUGAGGAGCGAAAGCCAGGGGAGCAAACGGG